RNAcentral lists this long non-coding RNA (653 nucleotides) under Elaeis guineensis (African oil palm). Its description in RNAcentral is "long non-coding RNA (EGUI_LNC082387)". The record is from RNAcentral. Lineage: Eukaryota; Viridiplantae; Streptophyta; Magnoliopsida; Arecales; Arecaceae.
CUAUAUAAGAAUAUAGAUGCCAUAUGGCUAAUCAUGCAGAAUAAAAUCAUUAUUCCCUUAUGCUUAUCUUGGAGGUCUGAUCUUCUCGAAGUAAUCAAUUUUUUCUCUUCCUUUUGAUAUGGUAGAUCUUUGAGAUACAAUAACAACUAGCAAUAAUAUUGGAGUAGAAUAAGAAACUCUUCAUCGACCAUAAUCGAGCCUUUCCUGAUGUUAAGGCUUUGAUUACAAGCCUGGAUCUUAAGUAUAGCCAGACAUAGACUCAGAUGCAGAUGUAAUCUUCUAUGGUCGAGGGUUCCUCUAAUAGCAAUAGUAACAAUAAUCCAUUGCAAUGGGAAGGUUUUGAUUUUCAAUCCAACUUUGAAAAUUUAGUCCAACCUCAAAUCACAAGAGUUGAAUUUCCUUGUUUCAAUGGCGAAGAUCUGACGGGAUAGAUCUAUUGGCUGAGCAAUUCUUUAAAUUUAAUUUGAUUUUAGAGGUGCAAAAAAUUCUAUUAGCAUUAUUCCUUUUGGAGAAGGAGGCUCUUCAAUUGUAUCGGUGGUUGGAGAAAAGUCACGGUACCGUGUCUUGGAAAGAAUUCGUGGAUGCUUUUUGUGCUCUCUUUCAUUUGAGCAUAUUCAAGAAUUACAUUGGAGAACUCACGAAGCUUUGUCAAU